This 1431-nucleotide long non-coding RNA is filed under the name Equus caballus (horse). Its description in RNAcentral is "lncRNA (ENSECAG00000033634.3)". Lineage: Eukaryota; Metazoa; Chordata; Mammalia; Perissodactyla; Equidae. The record is from RNAcentral.
AAAACCUGGCCCUUCCAACACCUGGAAAUCUCUAGAAGCCAGCUUGGCUUAUUUUCUCCAGUACAAACCUUCAACUGGAAGACUACACAGAUGAUCCUUCCCACUGUGUUAGAAAGAAAAAACACCAGCUCUGCCUCAUAUUUCUCAAAUGAUUUUUACAUGUGCAAACCAUGACCUGUUUCCACGCUUGUAGAUGUUAGGGGGGAGAAAGGGAAGCUUAAAGGAGACCAGGGAGACUAGUGUGUAUUUUCUUCUAAAGAAACUUUUAAAAGUGCAGAGAAACUGGCCUGGGACAAGGUCUAGGAUCUAGAUCUUAUACUAACAGGGAUGAUGCAUGUGAACAGUGCCCAGAACAAUUCCUGGCCCAUCGUAAUUGGUGUUCAAUUAAGCAAACUAGACUUGCCUAAGGUGUUAUGAUAAUAAUGACACAACAACAAACAAUGAAUCCUUUUUUUGAGCAUCUUCCCUGUGUUAAGUAUUUUAGGUAGGUAAUCUUUUAUCUCUACAACAUUACGGUAAAUCACUGGUUUUCUCCCCUUUCACAACUGGCAAAAUUAGGAUCUGAAAGCUUGCAGCUGGGAGAGGGAAGACUCAAGAUUAGCAUUCAGGGCUGACACCAAAGUUCAUCUUCCUGCCUGUAUACUCUAUACUGUUUCUAGAAUCCCCUUAACUCUCAAACUCUAUGACUCGGAGCAACUUGGACCUUUUUCACCUGCAGUAAACAGAAAGCUUUUCCUUCACUUAAAAUAAUGUAAAUAGUGAUAAAUGCUAGGAAUACAACCGAAGCCAAUUGUGGGGGUACUGGGUUAGAGAUGCUGUUCAAACCUCAUCCCAUUCAGACCCUCUGACUAUUGAUAGGAGAGGGAAAGUGGAAGAGAGAGGUUUUGCCUGAUCUUUGAGGCAUACACCUGUGUGGAGAGAGGGGGCAGAAAUGCCUGGUUUUCUGUUAAGAGGAAACAGAGGAAAGGGAACCUCUGCCACUCCAGUGCAGCCUGACAUUCCUGAGAUGCCUCAAGACACAGCUAAACAAAUGGUGGUUGGAGAAAAAGAUGUAUAUGUGGGAUUGAAAGAAGAUAGGCAAGAACGAGAACGAGAACAGUCUUACAUGCCAAUCACGGGACGUGGACUUCCUCCUGACACAGUGGGACGAAAACAGUAUAGAGUGUGUUAGUUAGUACUCACUCACUUACUUAGUUCAGCCUAAUUCAGGUUCAUACAAAUUCCCCCUUUCCCUGUCUUUAGUGGUCAAAGAGAGUGUUCAUCUAUCUGAAGAAAUAUAAAAUUAUUAAAAUCACUUUUUCAGAUCCAAGGACCUCUUUGAACUGUCUAAAGUCAUCCUGCAUGCAAAUGUGCAUUUGCCUGGGUAGAUUAUCUAAAGCCUUCGUUGGAUUUCUCAAGUGAUCUAAAGCUCUAAAAAGUAUAAGAAUCACU